AUGUUGGUUAAGUCCCGCAACGAGCGCAACCCCUAUUGUUAGUUGCCAUCAUUCAGUUGGGCACUCUAGCGAGACUGCCGGUAAUAAACCGGAGGAAGGUGGGGAUGACGUCAAAUCAUCAUGCCCCUUAUGACCUGGGCUACACACGUGCUACAAUGGUUGGUACAACGAGUUGCGAGUCGGUGACGGCGAGCUAAUCUCUUAAAGCCAAUCUCAGUUCGGAUUGUAGGCUGCAACUCGCCUACAUGAAGUCGGAAUCGCUAGUAAUCGCGGAUCAGCACGCCGCGGUGAAUACGUUCCCGGGCCUU
This 308-nucleotide ribosomal RNA is filed under the name uncultured Streptococcus sp. Its description in RNAcentral is "bacterial SSU rRNA". It matches the Rfam family "Bacterial small subunit ribosomal RNA", at positions 1072 to 1382 of the family's 1533-position model. The record is from RNAcentral. Lineage: Bacteria; Bacillati; Bacillota; Bacilli; Lactobacillales; Streptococcaceae.